CUUUGGGAUAACCCUCGGAAACGGGGGCUAAUACCGGAUAGGACCACUGGAUGCAUGUCUGGUGGUGGAAAGUUUUUCGGCCUGGGAUGGGCUCGCGGCCUAUCAGCUUGUUGGUGGGGUGAUGGCCUACCAAGGCGACGACGGGUAGCCGGCCUGAGAGGGCGACCGGCCACACUGGGACUGAGACACGGCCCAGACUCCUACGGGAGGCAGCAGUGGGGAAUAUUGCACAAUGGGCGGAAGCCUGAUGCAGCGACGCCGCGUGAGGGAUGACGGCCUUCGGGUUGUAAACCUCUUUCAGCAGGGACGAAGCGCAAGUGACGGUACCUGCAGAAGAAGCGCCGGCCAACUACGUGCCAGCAGCCGCGGUAAGACGUAGGGCGCGAGCGUUGUCCGGAUUUAUUGGGCGUAAAGAGCUCGUAGGCGGCUUGUCGCGUCGACUGUGAAAACCCGCGGCUCAACCGCGGGCCUGCAGUCGAUACGGGCAGGCUAGAGCUCGGUAGGGGAGACUGGAAUUCCUGGUGUAGCGGUGAAAUGCGCAGAUAUCAGGAGGAACACCGGUGGCGAAGGCGGGUCUCUGGGCCGAUACUGACGCUGAGGAGCGAAAGCGUGGGGAGCGAACAGGAUUAGAUACCCUGGUAGUCCACGCUGUAAACGUUGGGCGC
This 665-nucleotide ribosomal RNA is filed under the name uncultured Micromonosporaceae bacterium. RNAcentral describes it as "bacterial SSU rRNA". It matches the Rfam family "Bacterial small subunit ribosomal RNA", at positions 136 to 816 of the family's 1533-position model. The record is from RNAcentral. Lineage: Bacteria; Bacillati; Actinomycetota; Actinomycetes; Micromonosporales; Micromonosporaceae.